RNAcentral lists this long non-coding RNA (1803 nucleotides) under Medicago truncatula (barrel medic). RNAcentral's name for it is "long non-coding RNA (MTRU_LNC004638)". Lineage: Eukaryota; Viridiplantae; Streptophyta; Magnoliopsida; Fabales; Fabaceae. The record is from RNAcentral.
UCUGAACUAAUGUGCUUCUUUGUAAAAAAAAAAAAAAAAUUAACCGCAAAAUUUAUUUAAAAUUCGAUCCCAGUUGAAGACGACCUGAGACCGGUAAAUCAGAGACUACAAAGGCGCCGUAUACAAGCGGAACACUCAAAAUAAAGAUGUGAAAUACACACAUCACCUACUUAAGACCUACCUUCAACACCCAUGAACCCCAUAACCACAAAAACCAAUUUCACUACCUAAAACAAACUCCAACGCAAACAACCAUUGGAAACGAAAUCCAUAAAUACCCAUCGCCGCUACUCACUCCAAAAAAAAGUCCUCGCAAUCAAACAUCCUCUUCACCUCCCCAUGGUUAAGCCACACCUAAAAUGUUCAAUUCAAUCACUCCUUCGACUUUCACUACCUUUAUACCCCCGAUUCGCCGAAGAAGAAACACCAUAAUAGACCAAAGAAAACUUGAAUCAAAGAUUUGACUCCCUAUCUCGAAUCAAAAUCGAUCGGUCCACCAGACUCUAGUGAAAAAUUAGUAAGGUAACCCUCAUAUCCCCGAUCCAUCGAAGAGGACACCAUAACCAGCCAAACCAUAUGUAGUUAGACACUAGCUCCUGAUCUCGAAGCAAAAAUAAUCGCCCCACCAGAAUCCAGAGCACAAAUCAGUAUGGCAUUCGAUAGGAUGGGCAGUGAGUAAACCAAAAUCAUGUCAAAAAAGGAAACAAGAUCAGCUCAAAAACCCCCCAAAAACAAAGCAACCAAAUUGAAACAAGAGCUAGCGUCGACGAAUAGGACCCAACAUAGAGGCGUCCUAUAACAGAAAUACCAAAGAGCUAACCACUAACCACCUUCCCAUCACCUACAUACCUAAACAACGUCCACACCUGCUCUAAAUCACCUUAUGUCCACCGUGAGUUUCGAUAGAUCCGAGUCCGGAUUAUCCACGACCACCCCAUUCAAACCACACCACUACUGCUACCAUAAAUGACCACUCAAACCAACACCUACACUUCCUCCCCCAACCAUCUCGCAACACAACUAUCACCACCAUCACAAACAAACGUCAUCUCUGACCAACCUGUGAGUCACCACAACGUACCCACACAUCACCACCACCAAAUCACAAAUACAACUAUAGACCAAGGAAACGCCAGGAAAAAAAUUGACAGAGAAAAGCAUGAUAAACUAGAGACACUUUGGAGGCAGAAAUUCAUUCAAAAAAUAUACAGAACAUCACAUUCUUGUGAAUCAAAGAUUUGCCAAAAGUAAUACUAAAUAAAUCUUUCUUUUAUCAAGUGCAUGAGAGAAAUUAACAUAUCUCUAUUCUGUAAAUAAACUAUCAUUGAUCGAUAUAUUAGGUGUGAACGUGCAAAAUGUCAAGGAAUAUUCCAAAGUAUUUUGAAGGAGAUUUGGCGGUAUACCUUUUUGCAUUCGAUUGGCAUGACUUAUUGAGACGAAUCAAACGUAAAAGUUAGUGUGUUCCACACACGAUUUAAAAUUUAUGUACACGUUUCAUCAUAUUCAUCAUCAUCAUCAUAAUCAAGUUAUUGCAGUAGACUCAAACACAUGUUCUAAGAUUAAUUAUGUAAUCACAUGUAUAAAAGAACUUUUGUAAUGCUAUUUAAUUUAGACACACAUUCUUAGUAAAUGUCUAACAUUCAUUAUGAUCCAAUGAUUAAAUCAAAAUGUAAAUUGAUCCUACAUACAUCUACUUGUGUAUAAAUAGGUUCUCAUCCCGAUGGUGAAUUAUAUCCUUAGAUAAUUUUACCAUGGUACAAAAUAUAUUUUUUCUCUUUAUUGUCAAUAAAUGAUAAAAAUGAA